Molecule: ribosomal RNA, 468 nt
Filed under: uncultured bacterium
Lineage: Bacteria
Description: partial 16S ribosomal RNA
Rfam family: Bacterial small subunit ribosomal RNA
Source: RNAcentral
GACGAACGCUGGCGGCGUGCUUAACACAUGCAAGUCGAACGGAAAGGCCCUGCUUUUGUGGGGUGCUCGCGUGGCGAACGGGUGAGUAACACGUGAGUAACCUGCCCUUGACUUUGGGAUAACUUCAGGAAACUGGGGCUAAUACCGGAUAGGAGCUCCUGCUGCAUGGUGGGGGUUGGAAAGUUUCGGCGGGUGGGGAUGGACUCGGGGCUUAUCAGCUUGUUGGUGGGGUAGUGGCUUACCAAGGCUUUGACGGGUAGCCGGCCUGAGAGGGUGACCGGCCACAUGAGUACUGAGGUACGGCCCAGACUCCUACGGUAGGCAGCAGGCGGGAAUAUUGCACAGUGAGCGGAAGCCUGAUGCAGCAACGCCGCGUGCGGGAUGACGUCCUUCUGGUGGUAAACCGCUGUCGCCUGUGACGAAGCGUGAGUGACGGUAAUGGGUAAAGAAGCACCGGCUAACUACGUG